RNAcentral lists this non-coding RNA (148 nucleotides) under Chlorocebus sabaeus (green monkey). The record is from Rfam by way of RNAcentral. Lineage: Eukaryota; Metazoa; Chordata; Mammalia; Primates; Cercopithecidae.
GCUGGGCGUGGUGGUGCAUGCCUGUAAUCCCAACUACUCAGGAAGCUGAGGCAGGAGAAUUGCUUGAACCCAGGAGGCAGAGGUUGCAGUGAGCCGAGAUCAUGUCAUUGCACUCCAGCCUGGGCAAUAAAGUGAGACUCUGUCUCAA